CGAAGUGCGCAGCUACACAUGCAGUCGAGCGAGAACUUCGGUUCUAGCGGCGGACGGGUUAGUAACGCGUGGGAACGUGCCCUUCACUACGGAAUAGUCCCGGGAAACUGGGUUUAAUACCGUAUACGCCCUUCGGGGGAAAGAAUUUCGGUGAAGGAUCGGCCCGCGUUAGAUUAGAUAGUUGGUGGGGUAACGGCCUACCAAGUCUACGAUCUAUAGCUGGUUUUAGAGGAUGAUCAGCAACACUGGGACUGAGACACGGCCCAGACUCCUACGGGAGGCAGCAGUGGGGAAUCUUAGACAAUGGGCGCAAGCCUGAUCUAGCCAUGCCGCGUGAGUGAUGAAGGCCUUAGGGUCGUAAAGCUCUUUCGCCAGGGAUGAUAAUGACAGUACCUGGUAAAGAAACCCCGGCUAACUCCGUGCCAGCAGCCGCGGUAAUACGGAGGGGGUUAGCGUUGUUCGGAAUUACUGGGCGUAAAGCGCGCGUAGGCGGAUUGGAAAGUUGGGGGUGAAAUCCCAGGGCUCAACCCUGGAACUGCCUCCAAAACUAUCAGUCUAGAGUUCGAGAGAGGUGAGUGGAACUCCGAGUGUAGAGGUGAAAUUCGUAGAUAUUCGGAAGAACACCAGUGGCGAAGGCGGCUCACUGGCUCGAUACUGACGCUGAGGUGCGAAAGUGUGGGGAGCAAACAGGAUUAGAUACCCUGGUAGUC
Molecule: ribosomal RNA, 710 nt
Filed under: Roseovarius sp.
Lineage: Bacteria; Pseudomonadati; Pseudomonadota; Alphaproteobacteria; Rhodobacterales; Roseobacteraceae
Description: bacterial SSU rRNA
Rfam family: Bacterial small subunit ribosomal RNA
Source: RNAcentral